UCCCUGGUGGCUCAGAGGUUAAAGUGUCUGCCUCCAAUGCAGAAGUCCCAGGUUCAAUUCCUGAGUCGGGGAG
Molecule: transfer RNA, 73 nt
Filed under: Ovis aries (sheep)
Lineage: Eukaryota; Metazoa; Chordata; Mammalia; Artiodactyla; Bovidae
Description: tRNA-Trp (CCA) (tRNA-Trp-CCA-16-1)
Rfam family: tRNA
About the family: Transfer RNA (tRNA) molecules are approximately 80 nucleotides in length. Their secondary structure includes four short double-helical elements and three loops (D, anti-codon, and T loops). Further hydrogen bonds mediate the characteristic L-shaped molecular structure. tRNAs have two regions of fundamental functional importance: the anti-codon, which is responsible for specific mRNA codon recognition, and the 3' end, to which the tRNAs corresponding amino acid is attached (by aminoacyl-tRNA synthetases). tRNAs cope with the degeneracy of the genetic code in two manners: having more than one tRNA (with a specific anti-codon) for a particular amino acid; and 'wobble' base-pairing, i.e. permitting non-standard base-pairing at the 3rd anti-codon position.
Source: RNAcentral